UUCGCGAAGGGAUAGACUCGAAUCGGGGGUAGAAAAGGAAAAACGAUCGACCUUGGAGGCAUAUAUAAGGAGAGCCAAGGUGAGGGGAGCAAGGGACAAAAACUUUUAUACAUCAACCUAGACCUUAGAGAAAUUUAAGAAAUUUUUGAUUUCGUAAGCGAGCUGUGAGUCAACUAGAUUCGAAGUUUAGGUGGUUAGAACUGUAGAUCUCGCUGACAGCUCAUGAAGCCGGGGCUUUUAGGACAUAUUGUACGAUCGCUACGCUCAGACACGGACUCGAAACAAGAUCAUCCUUACUUUGCUCUCAGUUUUUCUUUUCGA
This 321-nucleotide long non-coding RNA is filed under the name Brassica napus (rape). RNAcentral describes it as "long non-coding RNA (BNAP_LNC007823)". The record is from RNAcentral. Lineage: Eukaryota; Viridiplantae; Streptophyta; Magnoliopsida; Brassicales; Brassicaceae.